GCCCCCGUAGUUCAACGGAUAGAAUAGAGGAUUCCUAAUCCUUAGAUGUGUGUUCGAUUCACGCCGGGGGCACCA
Molecule: transfer RNA, 75 nt
Filed under: Bdellovibrionales bacterium
Lineage: Bacteria; Pseudomonadati; Bdellovibrionota; Bdellovibrionia; Bdellovibrionales
Description: tRNA-Arg
Rfam family: tRNA
About the family: Transfer RNA (tRNA) molecules are approximately 80 nucleotides in length.
Source: RNAcentral